This 397-nucleotide ribosomal RNA is filed under the name uncultured bacterium. Its description in RNAcentral is "bacterial SSU rRNA". It matches the Rfam family "Bacterial small subunit ribosomal RNA", at positions 30 to 432 of the family's 1533-position model. The record is from RNAcentral.
AUUGAACGCUGGCGGAAUGCUUUACACAUGCAAGUCGAACGGCAGCACGGGGCAACCUGGUGGCGAGUGGCGAACGGGUGAGUAAUACAUCGGAACGUGCCCAAUCGUGGGGAUAACGUAGCGAAAGUUACGCUAAUACCGCAUACGAUCUACGGAUGAAAGCGGGGAUCGCAAGACCUCGCGCGAAUGGAGCGGCCGAUGUCAGAUUAGGUAGUUGGUGGGGUAAAGGCUCACCAAGCCAACGAUCUGUAGCUGGUCUGAGAGGACGACCAGCCACACUGGAACUGAGACACGGUCCAGACUCCUACGGGAGGCAGCAGUGGGGAAUUUUGGACAAUGGGCGCAAGCCUGAUCCAGCCAUUCCGCGUGCAGGAUGAAGGCCUUCGGUUGUAACUAG